RNAcentral lists this ribosomal RNA (264 nucleotides) under uncultured bacterium. RNAcentral's name for it is "partial 16S ribosomal RNA". It matches the Rfam family "Bacterial small subunit ribosomal RNA", at positions 335 to 618 of the family's 1533-position model. The record is from RNAcentral.
CCUUUUUUGGGUUGUUGUUUGUAUUAUUGUACAAUGGGGGAAACCCUGAUGCAGCAACGCCGCGUGGGUGAAGGAGCGUUUCGGCGCGUAAAGCCCUGUCAGCGGGGAAGAAGAAAGACGGUACCCGACCAAGAAGCCCCGGCUAACUACGUGCCAGCAGCCGCGGUAAUACGUAGGGGGCGAGCGUUAUCCGGAAUUACUGGGUGUAAAGGGAGCGUAGACGGCGAGGUAAGCCUGAAGUGGAAGCCCGCGGCCCAACCGCGG